Molecule: long non-coding RNA, 803 nt
Organism: Bos taurus (domestic cattle)
Lineage: Eukaryota; Metazoa; Chordata; Mammalia; Artiodactyla; Bovidae
Source: Ensembl
AGGAGCCUGAUACCCAGACACUAAAGAGACUCGUUAGGGCAGGACAAGAAAACUAACAAGGUUCCUAUAGUCACCAACAGAAAGAGUCUGGGAAGGCUGGAAAAACAGGAAGAUUGUGUAACAGUAGGCAAGAAGCAGGCAGACAGCUAAACUCUGGAAGUCCAACAAUGGAUGUCCUGGCUGGCAAGCAGAGAAUAGAAUCCACUCUGUAGGCAGAGGCUGAAACAAUCAGUACAUAGCAGGAAUCCAAUCAUGGGAAUUGGGAUUAAGAAACAAAUGAGCAAUUUCUUACGAAGUCUGGCAAAACAGUGCUAAACAAGGCAGUGUACCAUGCCUAAAGGAACUGGCACAUCAGAUGACGUCCAGGAAAAGAGGCAGAGACAGGCGAAUAAAAAUGGCACACAAGACACCCAGUUACUUCAAGUAAUCUGUGAGCUCAGAGUAGGACCACAAAUAAUAGGUCCACAGGGUGCUAAAUGACCCAAACUACUGAAAUAAUGGCUUCUUGAAUUGUCUCUGACUAGGAGCAGGAUUGGUCCCAGCAGAAGAAAAGUGGACAACAAGAAAAGCCUUGGGAGCAGUAAUGACCAAUAAUGGUCACUUACCUGGAGUGUCCUAGUUAUUACUGCUUGGAUCAGUAAUGGUCCAAAGUCUUGACUGAAGGAAGAAAAUAAAGUCAAGGGAGAAACUGAAGACAACCUAUAUGAAACCUAGAGAUGGAAUCAUCAUCUCUCAGCCAUAAAACCUCCUUACAGUAAUGGUAAAAUAAAAAGAUAGUAGGAGUCUUGGUCCCUGAUGAUACC